GUGGGUGGAAGUGACGUGACUCGUGUGGAAGCUUUAAGAGCCUGCACGCAGUGUACCAUGCUUUCUAGGUUCUCUCUGUCACUGAAACUGCGCCAUCAGCACGGGUCCUGGAGGGCUGGAGAUACAGCAACAGCCUGGAGACAGGCAUGCACAGUGCUGGAAAUUAAACCUGGGUUCUCUGGAAGAAUAGCCAAUGCUCUUAGUCACUGAACCAUGUUUCCAGACCAGCAGAAGGAUUUUUAAAAGCUGCUUUAGAAGCUGUAAUUAGUGGCACAUGUCUGUGAUCUCAGCAUUGAAGAGGCAGAAACACGAGAACCAGGAGUUCAAGGACAUCCUUGGCUACACAAAAAGCAUAUGGAAGAAAGAAGGAAGAAGAUGAAGAAAAG
Molecule: long non-coding RNA, 386 nt
Organism: Mus caroli (Ryukyu mouse)
Lineage: Eukaryota; Metazoa; Chordata; Mammalia; Rodentia; Muridae
Source: RefSeq, a predicted model, not a curated record